RNAcentral lists this long non-coding RNA (3034 nucleotides) under Mus musculus (house mouse). Its description in RNAcentral is "long non-coding RNA chr2:69051220-69054254". Lineage: Eukaryota; Metazoa; Chordata; Mammalia; Rodentia; Muridae. The record is from RNAcentral.
AUGCAAGUUCCUAGACAUACUUAAAUUUACAUAUGUGAAUACAAGUAUCAACAAAGUUCUUAUCUUCUCGAAAUUGAAUAAAAAGAGAAAUUUAUAGCUUCCAAGAAAGAGAGAGAGAGAAGCCUCAAUAUUACCACAUGCACAAGUUCUCCACUUAACCGAAUCUCUAGCAACACUGCGCCCCCUUAACAUAGUCCCUCAUGCUGUAGUGACCGCCAACCAUAAAAUGAUUUCAUUGCUAUUUUGUAACUGUACUUUUGCUACUGUUAAGAAUCAUAAAUAUCAGCUGGGCGUGGUGGCACACGCCUUUAAUCCCAGCACUUGGGAGGCAGCAGCAGGUGGAUUUCUGAGUUUGAGGUCAGCCUGGUCUACAAAGUGAGUUCCAGGACAGCCAGGGCUUCACAGAGAAACCCUGUCUCGAAAAAAAAAAAAAAAAAAAAAAAAAAAAACAAAAAAAAAAUCAUAAAUAUUUAUAGAGACAGAGGUUCAAAGGUUUGCCAAAGGGGUCAUGACCCCACAGGUUGAGAAACACUCAUCUAGCAUCCACUGACAACACAGAAACAGCCUUCCUGAAUGACAUGUGCUCUGCUUUGCCCAACUGCUCCCCUGGAGUUGCCUGUGCUGAGAGACUGUCUGCAUGAGCUUCUGGGCCCUGGAUCUACUCAUUCUGGUCCCUCCCUGCCAGCCCCUGGGGAGGACACUGUGUGAUUGACUGCUUCCCUUCUCCAUCAUGCUAUAUUCUCAAUAUCCCCAUGUGUCUAUCAGAAUCACCUCCUAGCAUCCAUAUAAAUGAAAUGGAGAAAGGCAGGCUACUACAAUUAUUUACAUCCAUUGUGUGUGUGUGUGUGGACACAUGGGUGUAGGUGUUCUCGAGGGUGGGACUCUUUCUCUUUCCAGCAGCAGACAUAUACCUGGCUAGCAAAAAAAAGAAGAAGGAUGAAGAAGGAGAGGGGGGAAAAGUCUUUCCUAACUAUGUUAGGAUACGAUCCUAACAUAUCUAAGCAUCAGAAGUAUAUGGUCCCAUCAAGACCAGCUUAGGCAUAUUGGGUGACUCAUUAACACCCACAUUUGUGGCUCCUCUGGUCUUCUAACCAAGUAUUCUGGAAACAGUCACAGAAUCCCCAGUGAUGAUAUCUGGCCGGCUCUCCUCCAUCACGUGAAGAGCGUUCCUUACUCUGGGAGGCAGACCGUUCAUAUGAUGAUCUUCUCCGAGCCAGGUUCCAUAUUAAGCUCAUUUUAUAUUUGCUUUUCCAGUAGCUCAUUUGUCCUGGUAGCCACAUAAGUCACACUUACAUAGCACAGAGAUGUAGAACAGUCUUUCUUUUAUUUUAUUUUUUUUUUCAACUUGAGAAAAUUAAUGCUGGAUGAAUCAGUGUGUAAAUCUCUUAAGGCCAGGCCAUGUGAGAAUGAAUACGUGCCCAGGGUUGCAAAGCAAGGUCUGAAGAGUCACUCUGAGAGUGGACACAUUUCACGAGUGCUGCCUUGUCCUGUCAUGCUCUUGACAUGAGCCUCUUACAGCCUCUUGCAGUGUUCCUCUGUUUUAGGGGAGUCUUCGUUGGCCUGGUGAUAUUUUGGAGUGCCAUCUACAGCUAGCCACAUUAACUGAGCAGGGAAUGGCUGUCUUUUGCUUCUGAGAGCCUAGUUCUAGAACAUUCCUAUUCAAAAGGUCACUGAGCCCCUCCACUUGCUUGAGUUUUUCCAUUGUGUAUAUAAUUUGUCUUUUCCACAGGCAGGUAUAUUGGGGGGAAUUUUCCUUGUUGUAAGACAAAUAGGCAUCAUCUUGACCACUUUUGUAGGCAGAUUGCUUUAAAACAUUGAAGCAUAUAGAUAGCUCUUUACAUUUUUUAGUAUAUAGUUAAGACAUCAGAUAGGGAACACUUAAGAAAAAUGAUAAUUUGACCAGGAAGUCUGUGGAAUUGAGCCUAAGCCAAUGUAUUGUCAAUGUUUAAAACUUAGUUUUAUGGAUAUUUAGUUUUUUUCCUAAUUAAAAUGCUUGGCACCUCUCUUAUUAUUUGGUCAGUGUAGUUUUAUGUAUUCCUGGCAUAGCUGGCUUAUUCUGGUUUCUACACAAAAUGGGCACUUGGCCAACACCAGACCUGUAUAGUAGCUGGCUCAGGUGUUAUUACGGAGCCGUUUCCCUUGCUGCUUUCUGCCAUUAGACACUGUAGCUCCAGGCUACCCCUUCGCCUCCCUGACUGGCCCCACAGGUCUCCAGCAGCUCCAUACACUCCUAUCAUGAGGACCUUCUCUUUUAACCAUUGGUGAUUUAUGGUAUGUACUGGCUGCCAGACACACUCUCCACCUUCUGUGUGUGGAGGAAUUAACUCAGAUGUCUGAAACCAUCCUUUCUUCAUCUUGGGAUAGACUUGUUAAAGCCCUGUGGGCAGUGGAGACUGAGAGCGGCUUUGGGAAGCUGGCUAUGUGUGAGGUCCUUAAAGGGGAUUAUUCCCUCCCAUUAAAUCACAGCAAGCCAAAUGGUCAUUCUAAACAAAGACCAGGACUUAUAAAUGCUAAGUGAAAGUUUCUUUCUCUGCCCUUGGAGUGGGAGUCUUAAACAGUUUAUAAAUCAUUUCUCUCCUCAGCAUUCACAAGCCAUUUGUUGUUUUUGUUUGUUUUGAGACAGGGAAAGUUGGGCUCAGAUGUGCUGCCUGAGCCUGCCUCCUGGGUGCGAAGGUUACAAGUUAGAGCCAUCAUGCUCACAUUUAGAGAUGAAUUUUUUACUGGGUUGUUUUAUCAAUCUUUUUAAAAUAAUCUUGAUAUCCAAGAGUCAUCUUCCUUUUUCAGCAUUUUUUUCUACCAAGAGUCUAGAACAGUCCCCUAAAAGUGAGAGGAGAGCCUUUCAACCCUUCUGUGUAUUGAGAAAGAAUAUGAUGACUUGUUCAUUUCCAAAGUUGGGACUUCCUGCUCAGUGGGGGACACUGCUAUUAAAAGAAGGGCAAAGACACAGUGGUGAGUUAAAUAUACAAAAAAAAAAAAAAAUGGAAACUUACUGGAGAAUUUUUCCUUACUUUUUUCUUAUACUUUCCUUUCAUUU